RNAcentral lists this ribosomal RNA (367 nucleotides) under uncultured organism. RNAcentral's name for it is "bacterial LSU rRNA". It matches the Rfam family "Bacterial large subunit ribosomal RNA", at positions 2099 to 2465 of the family's 2925-position model. The record is from RNAcentral.
CUUUACUGUAGCCUGGUAUUGGGUUCGGGCUUUGACUGCGCAGGAUAGGUGGGAGACUAUGAGGCUGCCCUUGUGGGGGCAGUGGAGUCAUCAGUGAGAUACCACUCUGUCAAGGCUAGAAUUCUAACCGUCUGCCGUUAUCCGGCGACGGAGCAGUAUCAGGUGGGCAGUUUGACUGGGGCGGUCGCCUCCUAAAUGGUAACGGAGGCGCGCAAAGGUUCCCUCAGGCUGGUUGGAAAUCAGCCGAAGAGUGUAAAGGCAGAAGGGAGCUUGACUGCAAGAGCAACAACUCAAGCAGGGACGAGAGUCGGCCUUAGUGAUCCGACGGCGCUGAGUGGAAGGGCCGUCGCUCAACGGAUAAAAGUUA